GUUAACCUGUUACUCCCACUCCCAACCUUAGACUGGGAAAAAGGAUCGUAACAAGUGGGGGCUCAUCUGCUCGUCUCUUAAUUGGCUAUUGGUAACACAACAUGGGAGAACCAAUGGCUUUUGGCAGUAAUGAUGUCAAACCUGGUGCGAUGCUUAAAGCUCAGAGCACAGUGAUGGGGAAGAGAGAGCAGCAGCCAUCCUGCUGAUUCAGGGCACUGGCUGGAACCAUGAGAGGGCUCCUGGUGGACGUGAGCACUGAGGGGAAGUCUUUGAGUUUUAACAAGCUUGCUUACGUGCCCCACGAUCCAAGUAAUUUAUGGAGAUAGCAGUGCUGGCAAAGCCCCUAGUGAUCUGGAGUCCCACUGAUGUGGUAAACGUGCUCCAUGGCUGUCAGAACUUGAAUGAGAGCUAUAAGAGGACUGGGAUAGGGGACCAGCAGGUAAGACAGAUGCGUCAGUGUAUGUGUUAUGAAGUGGAG
Cyprinus carpio carpio is the source of this 478-nucleotide long non-coding RNA. Lineage: Eukaryota; Metazoa; Chordata; Actinopteri; Cypriniformes; Cyprinidae. The record is from Ensembl.